AUUGAACGCUGGCGGCAGGCCUAACACAUGCAAGUCGAACGGUAACGGAAAGCAGCUUGCUGCUUUGCUGACGAGUGGCGGACGGGUGAGUAAUGUCUGGGAAACUGCCUGAUGGAGGGGGAUAACUACUGGAAACGGUAGCUAAUACCGCAUAACGUCGCAAGACCAAAGAGGGGGACCUUCGGGCCUCUUGCCAUCGGAUGUGCCCAGAUGGGAUUAGCUAGUAGGUGGGGUAAUGGCUCACCUAGGCGACGAUCCCUAGCUGGUCUGAGAGGAUGACCAGCCACACUGGAACUGAGACACGGUCCAGACUCCUACGGGAGGCAGCAGUGGGGAAUAUUGCACAAUGGGCGCAAGCCUGAUGCAGCCAUGCCGCGUGUAUGAAGAAGGCCUUCGGGUUGUAAAGUACUUUCAGCGAGGAGGAAGGUGUUGUGGUUAAUAACCACAGCAAUUGACGUUACUCGCAGAAGAAGCACCGGCUAACUCCGUGCCAGCCGCCGCGGUAA
RNAcentral lists this ribosomal RNA (506 nucleotides) under uncultured bacterium. RNAcentral's name for it is "partial 16S ribosomal RNA". It matches the Rfam family "Bacterial small subunit ribosomal RNA", at positions 30 to 523 of the family's 1533-position model. The record is from RNAcentral.